AAUGAAAAUGAAAGGAAAAGGAAAGUACUUUUGCAACCCUAGAAAGUAAAGGAAACAAUGGGAUAUUGAACAAGCCAUAUGCGACCAUAACAACAACUACAAUAAUCUAUUUAGAGGGGAACAAAUACACACAUAGUGGCAUACUCCAACAAGUUUUAUAUUAUGAAUACAGGUGAUUGAGUAAACCAAAUCCAAAUAUGAAACUUGGAGCAAAGAUGAUUGUCAUAGUCCAGGGAAAUUCUACCUCAAAAUUUCUGGCCAU
Molecule: long non-coding RNA, 262 nt
Filed under: Elaeis guineensis (African oil palm)
Lineage: Eukaryota; Viridiplantae; Streptophyta; Magnoliopsida; Arecales; Arecaceae
Description: long non-coding RNA (EGUI_LNC035253)
Source: RNAcentral